Molecule: ribosomal RNA, 506 nt
Filed under: Botrytis squamosa
Lineage: Eukaryota; Fungi; Ascomycota; Leotiomycetes; Helotiales; Sclerotiniaceae
Description: eukaryotic LSU rRNA
Rfam family: 5.8S ribosomal RNA (bases 180-333)
Source: RNAcentral
UUUCCGUAGGUGAACCUGCGGAAGGAUCAUUACAGAGUUCAUGCCCGAAAGGGUAGACCUCCCACCCUUGUAUAUUAUUACUUUGUUGCUUUGGCGAGCUGCCUUCGGGCCUUGUAUGCUCGCCAGAGAAAACCAAAACUCUUUUUAUUAAUGUCGUCUGAGUACUAUAUAAUAGUUAAAACUUUCAACAACGGAUCUCUUGGUUCUGGCAUCGAUGAAGAACGCAGCGAAAUGCGAUAAGUAAUGUGAAUUGCAGAAUUCAGUGAAUCAUCGAAUCUUUGAACGCACAUUGCGCCCCUUGGUAUUCCGGGGGGCAUGCCUGUUCGAGCGUCAUUUCAACCCUCAAGCUUAGCUUGGUAUUGAGUCUAUGUCAGUAAUGGCAGGCUCUAAAAUCAGUGGCGGCGCCGCUGGGUCCUGAACGUAGUAAUAUCUCUCGUUACAGGUUCUCGGUGUGCUUCUGCCAAAACCCAAAUUUUUCUAUGGUUGACCUCGGAUCAGGUAGGGAU